Non-coding RNA from Microcebus murinus (gray mouse lemur), 384 nucleotides. Lineage: Eukaryota; Metazoa; Chordata; Mammalia; Primates; Cheirogaleidae. The record is from RefSeq and is a predicted model, not a curated record.
GGCGGUGUGUCCACAACCCGGGAUUCCCUCACCCUCAGACUCCGGAAUCCAAUUUCUUAGCUUUCAAUGUUUUUAAGUGUGGGACUUUUGAAAUGGCCCGUUCAAAUCCACGAGAAAAAGGUGGGGAAGGAAGGCAGCUCCUGGAGGGAGUGGAAUCUGAGUUUGGAGGUCAUCUGCCUAUAAGUAGGGCUUUUCAUUGAGAACCACACCCUGCCAGAUGAAGUACAGAAGUGAGUUUGUGGGAAGCACCUGGGUGGAAACACUCCUCUGGAUUUCAUCUGAGACCAAUGAACGUGUUCCCAGAAGAUUCCGGAAGCCAGAGGAAGAGGCAAGGAGGCAUCUCACAGCCACUGAACACCAGCCAAUGUGUAAUUUGGGCUAAGG